Molecule: ribosomal RNA, 498 nt
Filed under: uncultured bacterium
Lineage: Bacteria
Description: partial 16S ribosomal RNA
Rfam family: Bacterial small subunit ribosomal RNA
Source: RNAcentral
AUUGAACGCUGGCGGCAUGCCUUACACAUGCAAGUCGAACGGUAACAGGUCUUCGGAUGCUGACGAGUGGCGAACGGGUGAGUAAUACAUCGGAACGUGCCUAGUAGUGGGGGAUAACUACUCGAAAGAGUGGCUAAUACCGCAUGAGAUCUACGGAUGAAAGCAGGGGAUCGCAAGCCCUUGUGCUACUAGAGCGGCCGAUGGCAGAUUAGGGAGGUGGUGGGAUAAAAGAUUACCAAGCCGACGAUCUGUAGCUGGUCUGAGAGGACGAUCAGCCACGCUGGGACUGAGACACGACCCGGACUCCUACGGGAGGCAGCAGUGUGGAAUUUUGGACAAUCGACGAAAGCCUGAUCCAGCAAUGCCGCGUGCAGGAUGAAGGCCUUCGGGUUGUAAACUGCUUUUGUGCGGAACGAAAAGCCCAGGGUUAGUACCCUGGGGUCAUGACGGUACCGGAAGAAUAAGCACCGGCGAACUACGUGCCAGCAGCCGCCGUAG